This 448-nucleotide ribosomal RNA is filed under the name uncultured bacterium. RNAcentral's name for it is "bacterial SSU rRNA". It matches the Rfam family "Bacterial small subunit ribosomal RNA", at positions 330 to 797 of the family's 1533-position model. The record is from RNAcentral.
UCCAGACUCCUACGGGAGGCAGCAGUGGGGAAUAUUGCACAAUGGGGGGAACCCUGAUGCAGCGACGCCGCGUGAGUGAAGAAGUAUUUCGGUAUGUAAAGCUCUAUCAGCAGGAACGAGACAAGACGGUACCUGACUAAGAAGCCCCGGCUAACUACGUGCCAGCAGCCGCGGUAAUACGUAGGGGGCAAGCGUUAUCCGGAAUCACUGGGUGUAAAGGGAGCGUAGACGGCCAUGCAAGUCAGGGGUGAAAGCCCGGGGCCCAACCCCGGGACUGCCCUUGGAACUGUGCGGCUAGAGUGCGGGAGGGGCAGGCGGAAUUCCUGGUGUAGCGGUGAAAUGCGUAGAUAUCAGGAGGAACACCGGCGGCGAAGGCGGCCUGCUGGACCGCGACUGACGUUGAGGCUCGAAAGCGUGGGGAGCGAACAGGAUUAGAUACCCCAGUACA